CCUAAGCAUCCAAGAGAUCUUCUCCAAGGAGUGAAAAUUAGGUCUGGCCGCCCUCUUCUGUCACAAGAAUGAGAAUGAAAUCGUAACAGGGUUAUUUAUAGCUGAGGAGCGUCACAGAAAACAGGCCCAGGCCCAGCGGACAACCGCCCGACGACACACUUAUGCUGCCCAGCGGUUUGCUCCUAAUCGCGCCAUCGCUCGGCAGCAGGGGGCCACCGCCCGACGGUUUUCCUCUUAUCGCAAAUCCGCCCAGUGUCUACGCCAGGUGCCUCCUCCUUGCACUGGACCGCCCAGUGGUGAAUUUUGCUGCCGGGCAGUUCCUAGACUCUUCUUUUCUUCAGUUUUCUUGCUCUGUCUUGAGUCUAAGACCUCCAUAUUCAGUCCCCA
This 387-nucleotide long non-coding RNA is filed under the name Vigna radiata. RNAcentral describes it as "long non-coding RNA (VRAD_LNC010397)". The record is from RNAcentral. Lineage: Eukaryota; Viridiplantae; Streptophyta; Magnoliopsida; Fabales; Fabaceae.